This 253-nucleotide ribosomal RNA is filed under the name uncultured bacterium. RNAcentral's name for it is "partial 16S ribosomal RNA". It matches the Rfam family "Bacterial small subunit ribosomal RNA", at positions 524 to 776 of the family's 1533-position model. The record is from RNAcentral.
UACGAAGGGGGCUAGCGUUGCUCGGAAUUACUGGGCGUAAAGGGCGCGUAGGCGGCACUGUUAGUCAGGCGUGAAAGUCCUGGGCUCAACCUGGGAACUGCGCUUGAUACGGCAGAGCUAGAGGAUGGAAGAGGGUCGCGGAAUUCCCAGUGUAGAGGUGAAAUUCGUAGAUAUUGGGAAGAACACCGGUGGCGAAGGCGGCGACCUGGUCCAUUACUGACGCUGAGGAGCGAAAGCGUGGGGAGCGAACAGG